AUACGGAGGAUGCGAGCGUUAUCCGGAUCUAUUGGGUUUAAAGGGAGCGUAGGCGGGAGCUUAAGUCAGCGGUUAAAUGGUGCGGCUCAACCGUGCCCUGCCGUUGAAACUGGGUUUCUUGAGAGUGCAAGAGGCGGAUGGAAUUCAUGGUGUAGCGGUGAAAUGCUUAGAUAUCAUGAAGAACUCCGAUUGCGAAGGCAGUCCGCUGGGGCACGUCUGACGCUGAUGCUCGAAGGUGCGGGAAUCAAACAGGAUUAGAUACCCUGGUAGUCCGCACGGUAAACGAUGAUUACCCGCUGUCGGCGGUAGACAGUCGGCGGCCAAGCGAAAGCGAUAAGUAAUCCACCUGGGGAGUACGCCGGCAACGGUGAAACUCAAAGGAAUUGACGGGG
Molecule: ribosomal RNA, 392 nt
Filed under: uncultured bacterium
Lineage: Bacteria
Description: partial 16S ribosomal RNA
Rfam family: Bacterial small subunit ribosomal RNA
Source: RNAcentral